AUUGAACGCUGGCGGCAUGCCUUACACAUGCAAGUCGAACGGUAACAGGUCUUCGGAUGCUGACGAGUGGCGAACGGGUGAGUAAUACAUCGGAACGUGCCCGAUCGUGGGGGAUAACGAGGCGAAAGCUUUGCUAAUACCGCAUACGAUCUACGGAUGAAAGCGGGGGAUCUUCGGACCUCGCGCGGACGGAGCGGCCGAUGGCAGAUUAGGUAGUUGGUGGGAUAAAAGCUUACCAAGCCGACGAUCUGUAGCUGGUCUGAGAGGAUGAUCAGCCACACUGGGACUGAGACACGGCCCAGACUCCUACGGGAGGCAACAGUGGGGAAUUUUGGACAAUGGGCGAAAGCCUGAUCCAGCCAUGCCGCGUGCAGGAUGAAGGCCUUUGGGUUGUAAACUGCUUUUGUACGGAACGAAAAGCCUCUUUCUAAUAAAGAGGGGUCAUGACGGUACCGUAAGAAUAAGCACCGGCUAACUACGUG
Molecule: ribosomal RNA, 482 nt
Filed under: uncultured bacterium
Lineage: Bacteria
Description: partial 16S ribosomal RNA
Rfam family: Bacterial small subunit ribosomal RNA
Source: RNAcentral